Molecule: long non-coding RNA, 2433 nt
Filed under: Olea europaea (common olive)
Lineage: Eukaryota; Viridiplantae; Streptophyta; Magnoliopsida; Lamiales; Oleaceae
Description: long non-coding RNA (OEUR_LNC008400)
Source: RNAcentral
UAAAGGAUCAUAGGACAACAAAUCCUUUUAAAUUAAUUAUUUUACAGAUUCAAUUGGAAAGGGUUUCUAUUCAAUUUAGACGUUUUCUCAUCACUACAAGUUAAGGUACGAUCUCUACGUUAAGUUGUUGUUAUAUGAAUUAAAUUUUCAUUUAGGCAUGCUAUUCGUUAUAUUUGCUCAUGCAAUAUAUGAAGUGAUUUUAAGAGUUUCUCUUAAAUUUUGAUGCAAGAAUAAUUAUAUAUAUUUAAAACUGAUGGUCGCAAAAGCUCAUCGGGACUUUAAGUAUAUAUGUUAAACUGAAACUUUAAGUAAAUCACUUGAUCAUCAAUUUGCUUAUUUAUGAAGGCAACAUCUAAGGAUGCAUGAUCAAACAUAUUAUUAUUAUUAUGUUAAUAUAGCAUAUGUUGCCUACUGAGUAUUUCUUUGAGAUACUUACUCCUAUUUAACCUUUUCGGAGUAAUCGGAGAUCAAGCGGUAGUUCGGCAUGAAUGGCAUAUGUUAUUUUUAAAGAAAUUUAUUUCUUAUGCUGAUCACUUAAUGUUUAAUAAUUAUUGUGGAAUCCCAGAAAUUGUAGUUUAUAUUCAUGUUUUGAGACAGAAAAUUUUAAUCUUUAAACUGGUGUUUUUUAGUAAAUUUCUAGAAUUUUGCCACUGUUUCAAAAAUUGGGUUAUUGUCGGCAUAUUUAGAAUUUUAGCAUGUUUAAUUGUAAAAUGAUUUCUUGUGAGUUAUUUAUCAUAUGCAACUGAAAAGAGGUUGAUCGGAGUCCGGUAGAAUUUACUAUACCAAUUUUAUCAAACUGUGAUAGUCAAAUCUGGAAAACACAAACCAGCUUGUUCGAAAAUAAAUUUUGAGCUUCAAACGUGGUUGUCAAGAACCCAAAUUUUUAUAUGUCUUACUUAUAAGAGUUUUAUACUUUUUUGUAAAAUUUCAUAAGUUUUCGUCAUGUUUUGCUAGGUUAAAUAAUUUUUGCAAACUCACUGCACAACGGUGGAAAGCUAUUUUAGCUUGCUGUUUUUUUUUUUUUUUUUUAUAAAAACUCAUUCCAAGUUAUUUUGUUCCGUAAUAUUCCUAAGUUUAUAUGUUUAAAAAAUAGGAGAAAGAGAAAAAAAAUGUUUUGAUUAUAUAAUUUGAUUAAAUAAAUUCUAUUUUAAAAACUUUCUUUAAUCUUGUAUUUUGGAGAUUAACGUUAAAGAACUCAUGCUUGGUAACGCGUUGGGUUAUUAGAAUUUAGGGCAUUAUGGUUGGUAUUAGAGCGCAGUUUACCUUUCUAUAGACUUGCGAAACAUAAGCUUGAUUUCCAAAAAUUUAGGAAUUGUGUGUCAAAUAAAUUAUUUUUUUACCAUCAUGCCUAUUGUCGCAAAUUGUCAACUUUGAGGUAAAGAAAGUUUUAAGAAAUUUAUGCUGCACUAUAAUAUUUGAAAUGUUAAUAUGUGAUUUUAUAUAUUUAAAUCACGAGAAUUUAUGUUUAAGGAAAUCAAAUUUGAGAAUAUGAUAGAGAUUUUUUGAGUUUUGAGAACAUAACUAAAUUAUGUAUGUUCAUUUUAGUCCUCGAAAAAGAUAUUCCCACCUAUUUGGACUUUAUAAUUGAUUUGGCACAGAUGGCACGGACUAAGAGAACAUGUAGGAAGAUGCGUUCAAUGAUACCUCGUCGAUAUGAGAUCAUGAGGCUGUACGAAGAGUAUCAGUGGAAUCUGAUGCAUUAUAUGGGCCAGCACAUUAGGGAAAUGCUAGUAAGGUCGAGAGAAGUAAGGCAACUAGGAUAUAUGGUUACUAGCCGUCGGGCCACCCACUUCCUUAUUGAUACAUUGCCAGAAGAAUGGCUAGAGAUGGACAAAUCAAUUUACAAUCAUCUGUGGAGAGUUAGGCUAUACCCAUUUUACCUCGGGAGAUUGACUAUGAGGCUUUUUGCACACAGCUGACAGCAUAGUGGGAGCAAGUCCGAGAUGAUGCACUUGUUUAUCAUGAAGGCGAUUGAAUCCUAUUGAGAUGUACAUUUGUGAAGAUGCACCUCCAAUUAUUUCAGACGAUAAGUUGCAGUCUUCCAAGAAUUUAGGUUUCACGGCGGUUGGAUUGACAACGAUGAUGUCAUGAAAGAGUAGUAGCAGGGAUUUUUUUUAGUAGAUUUUAUUAGGUUUGGAUCAUGUUGAUGUCGAGUAAGAUUUCCUUUUUGCUUUUCAGUUGAUUAGUACUAGAUGUUUUUUCAUAGAUUGUAUUCCCUAUAAAGGAUUUAGUUAAUAAUAAAAUUGGUAAUUUCCUAAUUUUAGUCUGUCAUUUUAUUGUGCAAUGUAUGAUUUUCUGAAAGAUUACAAACCUAUUCCAUUUUUGUAUGAAGGGAAAUGGUACCAAUAUCACACACGAGAGCAAUUAGAGAUUGCAACAAGCGGUGGAAGAAAUGAGGUGGGUCUUAAUGGCACAACUACUCCAACAGCACCA